RNA transcript from Neofelis nebulosa (Clouded leopard), 813 nucleotides. It is a transcript of the gene named cystatin-9-like, with no coding region annotated. The transcript is spliced from 5 exons. The record is from RefSeq and is a predicted model, not a curated record. Lineage: Eukaryota; Metazoa; Chordata; Mammalia; Carnivora; Felidae.
GAUAUACUGGACCAAUGCCCAAGGAGGCUCAGUGGGAGCCUGAGCUAGAAGGACAAAGGCCAUGGGUGUCCAAGUAUCUGUAGUCAUUCCAAACUGGCGGUGCCGGUGGGCUCUGCCCUGGGCCAUGCUGCUGCUUCUCUUAGGUUCUGAGUUCCUGGAAGAAGUAGAGAGUGAAGAUGAAAAACCUACGAUGAGCUACUUACUUGCAACUGUGGAAUAUGCCAUACACAUAUUCAACCUGCAGAGCAACGAUACAAAUGCCUACAGGCUGGUGCGCAUCUUAAAGCCCAGGAGAGAGCAGUUCAAGGAGGACAGCACAUUGGCAUUCUCUUUUGAGCUUCAGCUUAGAAGAACAAGAUGUGGGAAAUUUGAUGAAGACAUUGACAACUGUCCCUUUCAAGCAAGUUCAGAGAAGAACGAUAUCAUCACCUGCUUUUUCACCAUCGCCAGUGAGCCCUGGUUAACACUGUUUGAACUCUGGAACAAGACCUGCUUGGAUGGCUUCCACAAAUGAGACUCCAGCCUAUCUAGCUCUGGCUGCUCUCCUCUGGGACACCAGUGAUGUCCUGUGGGUGGCCUUUCAGUGGUUGAAUAGAAGAGAGCCUGGCCUUCUCCAUGGAGCUGGAGCUUUGCAGAACCAAAUGUGGGAAAUUUGAUGAUGACAUUGACAACUGUCCCUUCCAAGAAAGCCCAGAGCUGAACAAUACUUUCAACAGCUUCUUCACCAUUGCCACUAUACCCUGGGAAACCACCUUCAAACACCUGUACAAUGUUUGCUUCGAGGGCUUCCAUUGAGUGCUGCUAUACCCUGCC